This 1528-nucleotide long non-coding RNA is filed under the name Homo sapiens (human). Its description in RNAcentral is "APRG1 tumor suppressor candidate". The record is from RNAcentral. Lineage: Eukaryota; Metazoa; Chordata; Mammalia; Primates; Hominidae.
CUGAUCAUUGAGAGAGUGACACCUGGUCUUAGGCUUAGAAGAGGAGUAGAAGAGAGCCAGUGAAGUCAGGGAAGGCUUCCAAGGCAAAAGGACCAGCAAAAGGGCAGCACAUUCCCCCUGUUCCCAGGUGGGUCCAGAGAUGUCGCCUGGGAGCCAGGGCCUGGAGUUCUGUUACUGUGGCUGAGCUUGCACCCAAGCUACAAGAUGACAUCCUACUCUUCCCUCACCUUUCUACAAGUAGAGGAGUCUCUUCUCAUGGCCACCAUUGUCCCAGGAUGUGAGGUCUGGAACAGCUGCAGCCAUUUUGCCACCAUGGGAAACCUGGGACAUCUGAACUGACUCCAUGAAGCCUGAAGAGAAAGCUAAUAAGAAGGCAGAGAGAAGAGGAAGAGUCUUGGUCUUUGGAAAUAUCUUUUGGAGCUGCUGGAUCAAGUAUCACUUGAAGUAUUAUUGAAUUUAUUCCCCGAAGGAGAGCGGCUAAGAGUAUUGCCCAGCCACAGGCUCUCAACCACCAACCCGAGCCUCAGAUUCUCCUCACACAGCCACAGCUGUACCACAUGGCCCACGUGGUAUGGUGCUAAUUCCUCUGACAUCUAAUUUUCACUUUUUGGCAAUAUUUGGUCUCAUCAAGCUUUACACAUAAAUAUUUUCAGCAAAGUGCUCCAAAUGCCUUUUUCAGAAAUCUGAAUCCACAUGAAAACAAUGGCAACAAGAAAAAGGUGUAAACUUUCCAGAACAGGCCCAGAAUUUGAAAAUGUGAUAAAGAGGUUAUUGUGCGCCCGAACUUUUCACACAAGAAUUGGAGGAGAUUUAACACAUGGAAUAAUAAACAGAGGAAGGCGGGCUAAUGCAGAGCAGAUGGGCCUGCAGGGCAGUGCUCAGCAUUUCAACAUCUUUCCCCUGGACCUUUGGACCCAAGGUGAUUGCAUGCUGGUGUCUUUAGCUAAAAAUAAAGUUAAUGUCUUUGGGGCAAUCAUAAAUAUGGCUGCUUCAGUUUCUGGGGUGAUUGGUGGUCUAAAGUUUUCAAGAACCUACUAUGUGAAAGGCAUUUGACAUUCACUAAUUUAAUCCCAACUACUACUCCAUUUUGAAGGAAAAAAAUGAAGGCUCUGAAAGUGUAAAUCGCUUACUGAAGGGCACACGGCCAGGAUGACAGCGGAGCCAGGAUCACCCCAGGUCUGUCUCAUUGCAUAUGUCAUGGCUCUGCAAACUGGGGCAAUAGGUGAGCAGGGAGAAGAGUCAUGGCCAAAUAAAAUUGAGACAUACCGAUACACACACACACACACACACACACACACACACAUUUACACGGUAACAGCCUUAUUAAGGUACAACUAAUGUACAAUAAGGUGUACAUAUUUAAAGGAUACUAUUUGAUAAGUUUUGACAUAUGUCUGUACCUGGGAAACCAUCACUACAAUCAUGAUGGUGAGCAUAUCUAAUACUCUCAAAAGUUUCCUCUUGCCUUUUGUAAUUCCAUUCUGCCAUCCCACCUGUCCCUCCCACUCCUGAUCCCAGGCAACCACUG